GACGUAGGGGGCCAGCGUUGUUCGUAAUUACUGGGUGUAAAGGGUUCGUAGGCGGUGCGGCAAGUCGGGAGUGAAAUCUCUGGGCUUAACCGAGAGGCUGCUUCCGAAACUGCUGUGCUUGAGUGUGGGAGAGGCGCGUGGAAUUGCAGGUGUAGCGGUGAAAUGCGUAGAUAUCUGCAGGAACACCCGUGGCGAAAGCGGCGCGCUGGACCACUACUGACGCUGAGGAACGAAAGCUAGGGGAGCAAACAGG
This 253-nucleotide ribosomal RNA is filed under the name uncultured bacterium. RNAcentral describes it as "partial 16S ribosomal RNA". It matches the Rfam family "Bacterial small subunit ribosomal RNA", at positions 524 to 776 of the family's 1533-position model. The record is from RNAcentral.